AUUACAUUAUUCCAAAAAAAAAAAAAAAAAUCUGUUAUCAGUUUAAUAUCUGAUAUGUCCCCUAUACAAAGACAACAUAUUAAAGUGAUUUUUUUGAACUGGGAGCCAAAAAAGGGGCUUGCUCCGUUCGCUCCACGCAUCGACCGAGCAUUGCAGUGUCGUCAGGUGCGGUGCAACCUUC
Molecule: small nuclear RNA, 181 nt
Filed under: Seriola lalandi dorsalis
Lineage: Eukaryota; Metazoa; Chordata; Actinopteri; Carangiformes; Carangidae
Description: U2 spliceosomal RNA (ENSSLDG00000010647.1)
Rfam family: U2 spliceosomal RNA
About the family: U2 is a small nuclear RNA (snRNA) component of the spliceosome (involved in pre-mRNA splicing).
Source: RNAcentral